GGAGAGGUAUCGAAGUGGUCAUAACGGGGCUGACUCGAAAUCAGUUUGUGUGAAAGCACACAUGGGUUCGAAUCCCAUCCUCUCCGCCA
Molecule: transfer RNA, 89 nt
Filed under: Clostridia bacterium
Lineage: Bacteria; Bacillati; Bacillota; Clostridia
Description: tRNA-Ser
Rfam family: tRNA
About the family: Transfer RNA (tRNA) molecules are approximately 80 nucleotides in length. Their secondary structure includes four short double-helical elements and three loops (D, anti-codon, and T loops). Further hydrogen bonds mediate the characteristic L-shaped molecular structure. tRNAs have two regions of fundamental functional importance: the anti-codon, which is responsible for specific mRNA codon recognition, and the 3' end, to which the tRNAs corresponding amino acid is attached (by aminoacyl-tRNA synthetases). tRNAs cope with the degeneracy of the genetic code in two manners: having more than one tRNA (with a specific anti-codon) for a particular amino acid; and 'wobble' base-pairing, i.e. permitting non-standard base-pairing at the 3rd anti-codon position.
Source: RNAcentral